Molecule: ribosomal RNA, 644 nt
Filed under: uncultured Rubrobacter sp.
Lineage: Bacteria; Bacillati; Actinomycetota; Rubrobacteria; Rubrobacterales; Rubrobacteraceae
Description: bacterial SSU rRNA
Rfam family: Bacterial small subunit ribosomal RNA
Source: RNAcentral
CCUACGGGAGGCAGCAGUCGGGAAUCUUGCACAAUGGGCGAAAGCCUGAUGCAGCAACGCCGUGUGAGCGAUGAAGGCCUUAGGGUCGUAAAGCUCUGUUGUUAGGGACGAAGGGCGAAGGGUUAAUAGCCCUUAGCCUGACGGUACCUUUCGAGGAAGCCCCGGCUAACUACGUGCCAGCAGCCGCGGUAAUACGUAGGGGGCGAGCGUUGUCCGGAAUUAUUGGGCGUAAAGGGCGCGUAGGCGGCUCGGUAAGUCUGCUGUGAAACCUUGGGGCUCAACCCCAAGCGUGCAGUGGAUACUGUCGAGCUAGAGGAUGGUAGAGGCCAGUGGAAUUCCCGGUGUAGCGGUGAAAUGCGCAGAUAUCGGGAGGAACACCAGUAGCGAAGGCGGCUGGCUGGGCCAUUCCUGACGCUGAGGCGCGAAAGCUAGGGGAGCGAACAGGAUUAGAUACCCUGGUAGUCCUAGCCGUAAACGAUGAACACUAGGUGUGGGGGGAGUCGAAUCCCUCCGUGCCGAAGCCAACGCGUUAAGUGUUCCGCCUGGGGAGUACGGCCGCAAGGCUAAAACUCAAAAGAAUUGACGGGGGCCCGCACAAGCAGCGGAGCAUGUUCUUUAAUUCGAUGCAACGCGAAGAACCUUAC